This 253-nucleotide ribosomal RNA is filed under the name uncultured bacterium. RNAcentral's name for it is "partial 16S ribosomal RNA". It matches the Rfam family "Bacterial small subunit ribosomal RNA", at positions 524 to 776 of the family's 1533-position model. The record is from RNAcentral.
UACGUAGGGUGCGAGCGUUAAUCGGAAUUACUGGGCGUAAAGGGCUCGUAGGUGGCCAACUAAGUCAGACGUGAAAUCCCUCAGCUUAACUGGGGAACUGCGUCUGAUACUGGAUGGCUUGAGUUUGGGAGAGGGAUGUGGAAUUCCAGGUGUAGCGGUGAAAUGCGUAGAUAUCUGGAGGAACACCGGUGGCGAAGGCGGCAUCCUGGACCGGUAUUGACGCUGAUGCGCGAAAGCCAGGGGAGCAAACGGG